Molecule: unclassified non-coding RNA, 330 nt
Filed under: soil metagenome
Description: partial contains 5.8S ribosomal RNA, internal transcribed spacer 2, and large subunit ribosomal RNA
Rfam family: 5.8S ribosomal RNA (bases 1-120)
Source: RNAcentral
GAUGAAGAACGUAGCGAAAUGCGAUAAGUAGUGUGAAUUGCAGAAUUCAGUGAAUCAUCGAAUCUUUGAACGCACAUUGCGCCCCUUGGUAUUCCAUGGGGCAUGCCUGUUCGAGCGUCAUUUGUACCUUCAAGCUUUGCUUGGUGUUGGGUGUUUGUCCAUUCUCUUGCAGAGGGACUCGCCUUAAAGUAAUUGGCAGCCAGUGUUUUGGUUUUGAAGCGCAGCACAAGUCGCGAUUCAACGCUAUACGCCAGCUUCCACAAGCCUUUUUCACUUUUGACCUCGGAUCAGGUAGGGAUACCCGCUGAACUUAAGCACAUCAGCGGAGGA